Molecule: ribosomal RNA, 301 nt
Filed under: uncultured bacterium
Lineage: Bacteria
Description: partial 16S ribosomal RNA
Rfam family: Bacterial small subunit ribosomal RNA
Source: RNAcentral
CAGCCGCCACGGUAAUACGUAGGGUGCAAGCGUUAAUCGGAAUUACUGGGCGUAAAGCGUGCGCAGGCGGUUAUAUAAGACAGAUGUGAAAUCCCCGGGCUCAACCUGGGAACUGCAUUUGUGACUGUAUAGCUAGAGUACGGCAGAGGGGGAUGGAAUUCCGCGUGUAGCAGUGAAAUGCGUAGAUAUGCGGAGGAACACCGAUGGCGAAGGCAAUCCCCUGGGCCUGUACUGACGCUUAUGCACGAAAGCGUGGGGAGCAAACAGGAUUAGAUACCCCUGUAGUCCCUGUCUCUUAUAC